RNAcentral lists this ribosomal RNA (456 nucleotides) under uncultured bacterium. RNAcentral's name for it is "bacterial SSU rRNA". It matches the Rfam family "Bacterial small subunit ribosomal RNA", at positions 339 to 792 of the family's 1533-position model. The record is from RNAcentral.
GUACGGGAGGCAGCAGUGGGGAAUAUUGGGCAAUGGACGCAAGUCUGACCCAGCCAUGCCGCGUGAAGGAUGACGGCCCUAUGGGUUGUAAACUUCUUUUGUACGGGAAAAAACCUUCGAACGUGUUCGUAGCUGAUGGUACCGUAAGAAUAAGCAUCGGCUAACUCCGUGCCAGCAGCCGCGGUAAUACGGAGGAUGCAAGCGUUAUCCGGAUUCAUUGGGUUUAAAGGGUGCGUAGGCGGGAUGAUAAGUCAGUGGUGAAAUCCUACAGCUUAACUGUAGAACUGCCAUUGAUACUGUCAACCUUGAGUACAAUUGAAGUGGGCGGAAUGUGUCAUGUAGCGGUGAAAUGCUUAGAUAUGACACAGAACACCGAUAGCGAAGGCAGCUCACUAAACUGUAACUGACGCUGAGGCACGAAAGCGUGGGGAUCAAACAGGAUUAGAUACCCUAGUA